This 301-nucleotide ribosomal RNA is filed under the name uncultured bacterium. RNAcentral describes it as "partial 16S ribosomal RNA". It matches the Rfam family "Bacterial small subunit ribosomal RNA", at positions 509 to 807 of the family's 1533-position model. The record is from RNAcentral.
CAGUCGCCACGGUAAUACGAAGGGUGCAAGCGUUAAUCGGAAUUACUGGGCGUAAAGCGUGCGUAGGCGGUGAGCUAAGUCUGCUGUGAAAUCCCCGGGCUCAACCUGGGAAUGGCAGUGGAUACUGGCUCGCUAGAGUGUGUCAGAGGAUGGUGGAAUUCCCUGUGUAGCGGUGAAAUGCGUAGAGAUCGGGAGGAACAUCAGUGGCGAAGGCGGCCAUCUGGGACAACACUGACGCUGAGGCACGAAAGCGUGGGGAGCAAACAGGAUUAGAUACCCCUGUAGUCCCUGUCUCUUAUAC